This 481-nucleotide ribosomal RNA is filed under the name uncultured bacterium. Its description in RNAcentral is "partial 16S ribosomal RNA". It matches the Rfam family "Bacterial small subunit ribosomal RNA", at positions 28 to 507 of the family's 1533-position model. The record is from RNAcentral.
GAUGAACGCUGGCGGCGUGCCUAACACAUGCAAGUCGAGCGAAGCGCUUAAAUUAGAUUUCUUCGGAAUGACGAUUUUUGUGACUGAGCGGCGGACGGGUGAGUAACGCGUGGGUAACCUGCCUCAUACAGGGGGAUAACAGUUAGAAAUGACUGCUAAUACCGCAUAAGACCCCAGCUUCUCAUGAAGCGGUGGUUAAAACUCCGGUGGUAUGAGAUGGACCCGCGUCUGAUUAGCUAGUUGGUAAGGUAACGGCUUACCAAGGCGACGAUAAGUAGCCGACCUGAGAGGGUGACCGGACACAUUGGGACUGAGACACGGCCCAGACUCCUACGGGAGGGAGCAGUGGGGAAUAUUGCACAAUGGGGGAAACCCUGAUGCAGCGACGCCGCGUGAAGGAUGAAGUAUUUCGGUAUGUAAACUUCUAUCAGAAGGGAAGAAAGUGACGGUACCUGACGAAGAAGCCCCGGCUAACUACGUG